Molecule: unclassified non-coding RNA, 1123 nt
Filed under: Hevea brasiliensis (rubber tree)
Lineage: Eukaryota; Viridiplantae; Streptophyta; Magnoliopsida; Malpighiales; Euphorbiaceae
Source: RNAcentral
ACUCAGGAUUUGCCUAUAAAUAAUGGGGUAACGCGUAAUGGAGACUUCAAAAAUCUAUAAAUAAUGGCCAUUAUAUUGUAUAUGUGCCUUUAUUUGAAACCAUGGUAUUGAGUAUUGAAUACUUAGAUGGUCAUGAGGGACAUGUUUAUAUGGUGAGUGAAAUUGAAAUGGGACGUUAAGGUAGAUGUUGAAAAUAAAAGAGAGAACCAAGUAACAAAAAAGGUGCAUUCAGAGCAAGGUGGAAGUGGCAUUCAUUGAUAAGUUAGCAAUUUCUACUGAUAUAGUAUGGCCAUGUCAAAUUUUUAGAUGUAUGGAAUAUGGAUGCAACGUCUUGAAGUGAAUAAAGUUAUGAUGGCAAAUAAGAGAACAAAUGCUGAAUGCAGGUUAAAAGUGUUAAGAAAAAUGUUCAAGUUUGAUAGUAUUUCUCAGGAAGUUUGGCCUAAAUGGAAAAAGAAAGGCAACUCUACUUAGUUUGGGACUAUUAAUUAGUUUAGUAGAGUAGCACACCUCUUUGUCUAUCUUCUGUUGGAUAUUGGAACUUUACCGAAAAUUGUUGCCCCCUAGUGAUUUGCAAUCCAUAUCGGAUAAUUUCAUUCACACAGAUAUCAGAUAAUUUCAUUAUUAUUAUGCUGCAAAUUUUGGGAUUUGGAUAUGUUUUACAGCAUUGAAGUUGUUAAUGUGGCAAUUUUAAUUGAAACUAAUUUAUUAUACUUACAGGAAACUCAAAAUUUUCGUGUUUAUUAUUUGUUUAUUUCAAUGGGUAAUUUUUUUUCCAGUAUGCAAUCUACAAAAUCAUUUUAUAUUUUUGGAUAAUAUUAUUUUGAUUAACACUAAGCAAUCUGAAAAAGCCUACUAAAUUUCUAAACAAGUUUGUUUUAAUUACAGUUUUUAUUCUACAUACUAGAGCAAUUGAUACGCUAGGUGAAUGAGGGUUACUGUUAAGUUUUCUGGAAUUAAGUUUAUUAUCUUUUAAUGUUCUUUAACAGUUUGUAGUUGUACGAUAAAUUCUAUAUAGCUUGUUAGAAUUCCCGUUAGAAAUUUAAUGAAAAAGAACUUGUAUUUAAUACAGCAUGUUGGUUAAUAUUUUCAUUGUUGAUACAGGGAUGCCAAGGAAAGAUUGACU